GUUGUAUGGUUAAGUGACUAAGCGUACACGGUGGAUGCCUUGGCAGUCAGAGGCGAUGAAAGACGUAAUAACUUGCGAUAAGCCCAGAUU
This 90-nucleotide ribosomal RNA is filed under the name Arcobacter sp. FW59. Its description in RNAcentral is "partial 23S ribosomal RNA". Lineage: Bacteria; Pseudomonadati; Campylobacterota; Epsilonproteobacteria; Campylobacterales; Arcobacteraceae. The record is from RNAcentral.